Molecule: ribosomal RNA, 1360 nt
Filed under: uncultured bacterium
Lineage: Bacteria
Description: bacterial SSU rRNA
Rfam family: Bacterial small subunit ribosomal RNA
Source: RNAcentral
AUUGAACGCUGGCGGCAGGCCUAACACAUGCAAGUCGAGCGAUAGAGAGAAGCUUGCUUCUCUUGAGAGCGGCGGACGGAUGAGUAAUACCUACGAGUCUGCCUGAUCCUGGGGAAUAACAUUCGGAAACGGACGCUAAUACCGCAUACGUCCUACUGUAUAAAGCAAGGAACCUUCAGGGCUUGAGCUAUCCGAUGACCCUAGGUCGGAUUACCUAGUUGGUGAGGUAAUGGCUCAGCAAGGCUACCAUCCGUAACUGGUCUGACAGGAUGAUCAUGCACACUGGAACUGACACACUGUCCAUACUCCUACGGCAGGAAUCAUAGGGGAAUAUUGGACAAUGAAUCAUAGCCUGAUCCAGCCAUGCCGCGUGAGUGACGCAAGGUCUUCUGAUUGUAGAGCACUUUACGUUGGGAUCGAGGGACAGUAAAUUAAUACUUUGCUGUUUUGACGUUACCGACGGAAUAAGCUCCGGCUAACUCUGUGCCAGCAGCCGCGGUAAUACAGAGGGUGCAAGCGUUAAUCGGAAUUACUGGGCGUAAAGCUCGCGUAGGUGGUUUGUUAAGUUGAAUGUGAGAUCCCCGGGCUCAACCUGCCAACUGCAUCCGAAACUGGCAAGACUGAGUAUCGUAGAGGGUAGUGGAAUUUCCUGUGUAGCGGUGAAAUGCGUAGAUAUAUGAAGGAACACCAGUGGCGAAGGCGACUACCUGGACUGAUACUGACACUGAGGUGCGAAAGCGUGGGGAGCAAACAGGAUUAGAUACCCUGGUAGUCCACGCCGUAAACGAUGUCAACUAACCGUUGGGAGUCUUGCACUCUUAGUGGCGCAACUAACGCACUAAGUUGACCCCCCGGGGAAUACCGACCCCAGGGUAAAACUCCAAUGAAUUGGCGGGGGACCCCCCCAACCGGGGAGCACGUGGUUUAAUUUGAAGCAACGCGAAGAGCCCUUUCAGACCUCGACAUACAAUGAACUCUCUAGAGAUAGAUAGGUGCCCUCUGGAACACUGAGACACAUGUGGCACGGCUGUCUUCACAUCGUGUCGUGAGAUAUUGGGGUAAGUCCCGUAACGAGCGCACCCCUUGUCCUUAGUUACCAGCACGUAAUGGUGGGCACUCUAAGGAGACUGCCGGUGACAAACCGGAGGAAGGCGGGGAUGACGUCAAGUCAUCAUGGCCCUUACGGCCUGGGCUACACACGUGCUACAAUGGUCGGUACAAAGGGCAGCCAACCCGCGAGGUGGAGCUAAUCCCAUAAAACCGAUCGUAGUCCGGAUCGCAGUCUGCAACUCGCCUGCGUGAAGUCGGAAUCGCUAGUAAUCGUGAAUCAGCAUGUCACGGUGAAUACGUUCCCGGGCCU